CUCUCCCGAAGCGUCUCGUUUUCCUGAUACGUCCGGAUAGGCGGACUUCGAGGCGAUUUUCUUCCCCACCGCCGGAUUCUCUGGCUUUCCUCGCCCCCGGUGGCUGGGCGCCGGUGAGCUUGGAGAGUUGGGAAUCCAGUGGGUGGUGUACGUAUCCCGGUGGCUGGGUAGAUUAGAGUUGGAUUACUUCCCGGUGAGGAUCUCGCCGGAAAUCUUUUGUUUCUUCCCGAGCUUCUCCGAUGUCAACUAUGUUGACGGUUGGCGGGUUCCGGUGGUGGUCUGUGGGCGAGAGGAGCUCAGCAACAGUAUCAUCUGCAGGAGGGCGUUCAACGGAUGAAAAUUUGAAGACUCUUCGUCGAAUCGGGAAUCGGCCGGAGGACCAGGUUGAAGCAGCGAUGGUCGGCGACGGUAACGGGCACUGGAUGCUCCUGUAAUGGACUUAUGUGUAAUUUUUUCUUUUUUUCAGGGGUACCCGGUCAGGAACUUGGUUGUAAGAGUACUGUAUCAAUAAAAAUCCAACUCUUUUUUUAAAAAAAAGAUAAACUCAAA
Long non-coding RNA from Setaria italica (foxtail millet), 549 nucleotides. RefSeq lists it as uncharacterized. Lineage: Eukaryota; Viridiplantae; Streptophyta; Magnoliopsida; Poales; Poaceae. The transcript is spliced from 2 exons. The record is from RefSeq and is a predicted model, not a curated record.